This 495-nucleotide ribosomal RNA is filed under the name uncultured bacterium. RNAcentral's name for it is "partial 16S ribosomal RNA". It matches the Rfam family "Bacterial small subunit ribosomal RNA", at positions 28 to 507 of the family's 1533-position model. The record is from RNAcentral.
GACGAACGCUGGCGGCGUGCCUAAUACAUGCAAGUAGAACGCUGAAGGAGGAGCUUGCUCUUCUGGAUGAGUUGCGAAUGGGUGAGUAACGCGUAGGUAACCUGCCUGGUAGCGGGGGAUAACUAUUGGAAACGAUAGCUAAUACCGCAUAACAGUAGAUGUUGCAUGACAUUUACUUAAAAGGUGCAAUUGCAUCACUACCAGAUGGACCUGCGUUGUAUUAGCCAGUUGGUGGGGUAACGGCUCACCAAGGCGACGAUACAUAGCCGACCUGAGAAGGUGAUCGGCCACACUGGGACUGAGACACGGCCCAGACUCCUACGGGAGGCAGCAGUAGGGAAUCUUCGGCAAUAGACGGAAGUCUGACCGAGCAACGCCGCGUGAGUGAAGAAGGUUUUCGGAUCGUAAAGCUCUGUUGUAAGAGAAGAACGAGUGUGAGAGUGGAAAGUUCACACUGUGACGGUAUCUUACCAGAAAGGGACGGCUAACUACGUG